RNAcentral lists this microRNA (21 nucleotides) under Picea abies (Norway spruce). RNAcentral describes it as "pab-miR397l". Its record names the gene pab-miR397j. Lineage: Eukaryota; Viridiplantae; Streptophyta; Pinopsida; Pinales; Pinaceae. The record is from miRBase by way of RNAcentral.
UCAUCAUUGAGUGCAGCAUUG